This 868-nucleotide non-coding RNA is filed under the name Brevicoryne brassicae (cabbage aphid). Lineage: Eukaryota; Metazoa; Arthropoda; Insecta; Hemiptera; Aphididae. The record is from RNAcentral.
UAAAGUUUAUAUUACUAAUUUUAUUAUUAUAUUAAUUAUUUAAUUAAGUAUAUAUAUAUAUAUUAAUUAUUUUAAUAAUAUAAAACCAUAUUAUUAUAAUUUUAUAUAUAAAUAUAAUUUAUUUUGUUAUAAAAUUUUAUUUAAUUAAAAAAAUACAUGAAAUUUUUUGAUUGUUAAUAAAUUCUUAAAGAAUUUUAAUAGUUCUCAGUAUUAAGUAUUAAAUAUUAAAGAAAUUUAGAUUUAAUUAUUAAUUUUAGUAUAAACUAAGUAUGUGCCAGCAGUUGCGGUUAAACAUAAUAUACAAAUAAAAUAGUUUGGUUAUUAGUAUUUAAAUAUAAUUUAUAAUUUAAUUUUUUUUAAUAAAGUAAAAUUUAAUUAAGAUUUAUGAUUAUAAUUAUUUUAUUCUAUUAAAUUUUAUUUAAAACUAGGAUUAGAUACCCUAUUAUAAAAAUUUAAAUUAAUUUACUAAAAAAUUAAUAGUUAUGUUCUUUAAAUUUAAAAAAUUUGGCGGUAUUUUAGUCUUAUUAGAGGAACCUGUUUUUUAAUUGAUAAUCCACGAUUAAUUUUACUUAUUUUAAUUAAUUCAUAUAUCGCUGUCAUGAAUAUAUUAAAAAAUUUAUUUUCUUUAUUUAUUUUUAUAAUUUAUGUUAAGUCAAGAUGUGGUUUAUAAAUAAGUUAGUAAUGGGUUACAUUAAAUUUUAUUUUUGGAUUUUAAAUGAAAAUUAAGAUGAAAUUGGAUUUAAUAGUAAAUUUAUUUAUUUAGUUAAUAUGAAUAAAGAUCUAAAAUAUGUACAUAUUGCCCGUCAUUCUUAUUAAAAAUAAGACAAGUCGUAACAAAGUAAAUGUACUGGAAAGUGUAUUUAGAAAG